UAGGGAAUCUUCCACAAUGGACGAAAGUCUGAUGGAGCAACGCCGCGUGAGCGAUGAAGGCCUUCGGGUCGUAAAGCUCUGUUGUUAGGGAAGAACAAGUACCGGAGUAACUGCCGGUACCUUGACGGUACCUAACCAGAAAGCCACGGCUAACUACGUGCCAGCAGCCGCGGUAAUACGUAGGUGGCAAGCGUUGUCCGGAAUUAUUGGGCGUAAAGCGCGCGCAGGCGGUCCUUUAAGUCUGAUGUGAAAGCCCACGGCUCAACCGUGGAGGGUCAUUGGAAACUGGGGGACUUGAGUGCAGAAGAGGAAAGCGGAAUUCCACGUGUAGCGGUGAAAUGCGUAGAGAUGUGGAGGAACACCAGUGGCGAAGGCGGCUUUCUGGUCUGUAACUGACGCUGAGGCGCGAAAGCGUGGGGAGCAAACA
This 427-nucleotide ribosomal RNA is filed under the name bacterium. RNAcentral describes it as "partial 16S ribosomal RNA". It matches the Rfam family "Bacterial small subunit ribosomal RNA", at positions 355 to 774 of the family's 1533-position model. RNAcentral also lists the same sequence under 2 other names. The record is from RNAcentral.